Molecule: ribosomal RNA, 463 nt
Filed under: uncultured bacterium
Lineage: Bacteria
Description: partial 16S ribosomal RNA
Rfam family: Bacterial small subunit ribosomal RNA
Source: RNAcentral
GACGAACGCUGGCGGCGUGCUUAACACAUGCAAGUCGAACGGUGAACCUCUUCGGAGGGGAUCAGUGGCGAACGGGUGAGUAACACGUGGGCAACCUGCCCCCGGCUCUGGGAUAACUCCAAGAAAUUGGGGCUAAUACCGGAUGUUCACCGCUUCCCGCAUGGGUGGUGGUGGAAAGGGUUUCCGGCUGGGGAUGGGCCCGCGGCCUAUCAGCUUGUUGGUGGGGUAGUGGCCUACCAAGGCGACGACGGGUAGCCGGCCUGAGAGGGUGACCGGCCACACGGGGACUGAGAGACGGCCCAGACUCCUACGGGAGGCAGCAGGGGGGAAUAUUGCGCAAUGGGCGGAAGCCUGACGCAGCGACGCCGCGUGGGGGAUGACGGCCUUCGGGUUGUAAACCUCUUUCAGCAGGGACGAAGCGCAAGUGACGGUACCUGCAGAAGAAGCACCGGCUAACUACGUG